GGCUGGUCUGAUGGUAGUGGGUUAUCAGUGUAUACUAAAGCUGGUAUACAACACCCCACUCCUAAAUUUGCCUGGCUUUUU
RNAcentral lists this Y RNA (81 nucleotides) under Gorilla gorilla gorilla (western lowland gorilla). It matches the Rfam family "Y RNA". Rfam says of the family: Y RNAs are components of the Ro ribonucleoprotein particle (Ro RNP), in association with Ro60 and La proteins. The Y RNAs and Ro60 and La proteins are well conserved, but the function of the Ro RNP is not known. In humans the RNA component can be one of four small RNAs -- hY1, hY3, hY4 and hY5. Lineage: Eukaryota; Metazoa; Chordata; Mammalia; Primates; Hominidae. The record is from Rfam by way of RNAcentral.